CGCGUAGGCGGUGGAACAAGUCACAUGUGAAAUACCAGGGCUCAACUCUGGGGGGUCAUGUGAAACUGUUUUACUUGAGUGCAGUAGAGGGAAGCGGAAUUCCUGGUGUAGCGGUAAAAUGCGUAGAGAUCAGGAGGAACACCGGUGGCGAAGGCGGCUUUCUGGGCUGUAACUGACGCUGAGGCGCGAAAGCGUGGGGAGCAAACAGGAUUAGAUACCCUGGUAGUCCACGCGGUAAACGAUGGAUACUAGGUGUGGGGGACAUACAACCUCUGUGCCGGAGCAAACGCAAUAAGUAUCCCGCCUGGGGAGUACGGUCGCAAGACUGAA
RNAcentral lists this ribosomal RNA (330 nucleotides) under uncultured bacterium. RNAcentral's name for it is "bacterial SSU rRNA". It matches the Rfam family "Bacterial small subunit ribosomal RNA", at positions 568 to 898 of the family's 1533-position model. The record is from RNAcentral.